AAUAAAUAUUCUAUACAAUAUUAUAUACACACAUAUGUGCCAUUUAUAAAAAUAGAGCCCCGCAAAUGACAUAGCGCAAUAGCCAAUUGCUUUGGAAACAGUUUUGUCUUCUUUUCGUUCACCACUACUUUCUCUAAGCACUAUCGAGUAGCAGAUGGCGGUAAGCCUGCUGGUAUCAAAGUGAGAAACAUGGCCAGAAAUCACGAACAUAAUUUAUUCUACUUCCUUCGUAAUUUGCAUAUACCGCGUUAAAAUAUGACUUCAACUGUAAACAGGGAAUUAUAUAACGCGACGUUGUUAAAGGCAACAUCUGAGAAUAAAGUUGGUCGUUUGCAACUUGCCUCGUUCGCUGGCUGCAAAACAAAGU
Molecule: non-coding RNA, 367 nt
Organism: Paramuricea clavata
Lineage: Eukaryota; Metazoa; Cnidaria; Anthozoa; Malacalcyonacea; Plexauridae
Source: the annotation of a GenBank genome assembly